CAUCUAUGUGUUGUGGCCUAUCC
RNAcentral lists this non-coding RNA (23 nucleotides) under Arabidopsis thaliana (thale cress). The record is from RNAcentral. Lineage: Eukaryota; Viridiplantae; Streptophyta; Magnoliopsida; Brassicales; Brassicaceae.